This 786-nucleotide ribosomal RNA is filed under the name uncultured bacterium. Its description in RNAcentral is "SSU rRNA". It matches the Rfam family "Bacterial small subunit ribosomal RNA", at positions 72 to 853 of the family's 1533-position model. The record is from RNAcentral.
AGGUUACUUCGGUAACUGACCUAGCGGCGGACGGGUGAGUAAUGCUUAGGAAUCUGCCUAUUAGUGGGGGACAACAUUCCGAAAGGAAUGCUAAUACCGCAUACGCCCUACGGGGGAAAGCAGGGGAUCUUCGGACCUUGCGCUAAUAGAUGAGCCUAAGUCGGAUUAGCUAGUUGGUGGGGUAAAGGCCUACCAAGGCGACGAUCUGUAGCGGGUCUGAGAGGAUGAUCCGCCACACUGGGACUGAGACACGGCCCAGACUCCUACGGGAGGCAGCAGUGGGGAAUAUUGGACAAUGGGCGGAAGCCUGAUCCAGCCAUGCCGCGUGUGUGAAGAAGGCCUUUUGGUUGUAAAGCACUUUAAGCGAGGAGGAGGCUCCUUUAGUUAAUACCUAAAGAGAGUGGACGUUACUCGCAGAAUAAGCACCGGCUAACUCUGUGCCAGCAGCCGCGGUAAUACAGAGGGUGCGAGCGUUAAUCGGAUUUACUGGGCGUAAAGCGUGCGUAGGCGGCUUUUUAAGUCGGAUGUGAAAUCCCUGAGCUUAACUUAGGAAUUGCAUUCGAUACUGGAAAGCUAGAGUAUGGGAGAGGAUGGUAGAAUUCCAGGUGUAGCGGUGAAAUGCGUAGAGAUCUGGAGGAAUACCGAUGGCGAAGGCAGCCAUCUGGCCUAAUACUGACGCUGAGGUACGAAAGCAUGGGGAGCAAACAGGAUUAGAUACCCUGGUAGUCCAUGCCGUAAACGAUGUCUACUAGCCGUUGGGGCCUUUGAGGCUUUAGUGGCGCAGCU